This 449-nucleotide ribosomal RNA is filed under the name uncultured bacterium. Its description in RNAcentral is "bacterial SSU rRNA". It matches the Rfam family "Bacterial small subunit ribosomal RNA", at positions 28 to 524 of the family's 1533-position model. The record is from RNAcentral.
GAUGAACGCUGGCGGUAUGCUUAACACAUGCAAGUCGAACGGUGUCUUCGGACAUAGUGGCGGACGGGUGAGUAACGCGUGAGAAUCUAACGAUUGGUUGGGGACAACCACUGGAAACGGUGGCUAAUACCGAAUAAGCCCACGGGUGAAAGAUUAAUUGCCAAUUGAAGAGCUCGCGUCUGAUUAGCUAGUUGGUGAGGUAAGAGCUUACCAAGGCGUCGAUCAGUAGCUGGUCUGAGAGGACGAGCAGCCACACUGGGACUGAGACACGGCCCAGACUCCUACGGGAGGCAGCAGUGGGGAAUAUUCCGCAAUGGGCGAAAGCCUGACGGAGCAAUACCGCGUGAGGGAGGAAGGCUCUUGGGUUGUAAACCUCUUUUCUGUGGGAAGAUAAUGACGGUACCAGAGGAAUAAGCAUCGGCUAACUCCGUGCCAGCCGCCGCGGUAAU